Thalassophryne amazonica is the source of this 259-nucleotide long non-coding RNA. RefSeq lists it as uncharacterized. The record is from RefSeq and is a predicted model, not a curated record. Lineage: Eukaryota; Metazoa; Chordata; Actinopteri; Batrachoidiformes; Batrachoididae. The transcript is spliced from 3 exons.
AGAGACAGAGACUCACACAGGGCCAGAGAUUCAACAAAACAAACAAUCCCAUGAAUUUGUUUAUUAAUAGCCUAAAUGAUGUGUUUUCUCCCGCGGGACAGGAGAAAAACACAAAAUCAAUGCAUCUCUAUUAUUGUGUGCUCAGCGUUUCACGGAUAUGGGCGGGACUGGAUACACGUAUUGUGGGAGCGGGCGGGACUGUAACACACACGUUGCGACUGUGGGCGGGAAUGGUCAGAAUUUCAGCGGGAGUGGAAAG